CCAGACUCCUACGGGAGGCAGCAGUGAGGAAUAUUGGUCAAUGGCCGAGAGGCUGAACCAGCCAAGUCGCGUGAGGGAAGACGGCCCUACGGGUUGUAAACCUCUUUUGUCGGGGAGCAAAGAGAGUCACGUGUGACUCAUUGAGAGUACCCGAAGAAAAAGCAUCGGCUAACUCCGUGCCAGCAGCCGCGGUAAUACGGAGGAUGCGAGCGUUAUCCGGAUUUAUUGGGUUUAAAGGGUGCGUAGGCGGGUUAUCAAGUCAGCGGUAAAAUCGUGGAGCUCAACUCCAUCCAGCCGUUGAAACUGAUGAUCUUGAGUGGGCGAGAAGUAUGCGGAAUGCGCGGUGUAGCGGUGAAAUGCAUAGAUAUCGCGCAGAACUCCGAUUGCGAAGGCAGCAUGCCGGCUCCACACUGACGCUGAGGCACGAAGGCGUGGGUAUCGAACAGGAUUAGAUACCCCUGUAC
Molecule: ribosomal RNA, 464 nt
Filed under: uncultured bacterium
Lineage: Bacteria
Description: bacterial SSU rRNA
Rfam family: Bacterial small subunit ribosomal RNA
Source: RNAcentral